Molecule: long non-coding RNA, 481 nt
Filed under: Salvia miltiorrhiza (redroot sage)
Lineage: Eukaryota; Viridiplantae; Streptophyta; Magnoliopsida; Lamiales; Lamiaceae
Description: long non-coding RNA (SMIL_LNC002118)
Source: RNAcentral
UUUUCAUUUUGGGUUGUCCCAUUAAAAGUGGCCACUUUCUAAAAAUAGUAAUAUUAGUAUUUAAUUAAGCUCACUUAAUUAAAAUUAGGAUUGUCUAAUUAAAUCCCAUUUAUUUACCUCUCUCACUCACCUCUCUCUCAUUUCUCUCUCACUUAUCAUUCACCACACUCAACACCAUCGACGCCGCCUCCUUCUUCCCCGGCGAAGAGCACCGCCGUCAGCCACGACCGCCGGCCACCCCUUGCGGCGUCGCCUGUCACCUUCUCGACGCUCUCUCUCUCUCGUCUCUCACCUCUUCUCCCUCAGAAAACACAACACCCUCGCCUGUCACCUUCUCAACUCCCUCUCUCGUCUCUCACCUCGUCGGCGGCGAGGGUUUGCACUGGUUUGGCCGUCGGAAGUCGACGAAUCGGAGGGCGGCGCGGGUUAGCUCUUUGCCGCCGCCGCCGAUUUGGGGCUAGGGCUUUUCCGCCGAUUUGGG